CUGAUUCAAUACACUGGCACUUAGCCUGCUAGACAUAAAGUCUGAAAUGUUUCACCGGCGUCAAGCCUGCUAGACUUAAAGUCUAAAAUGUUUCACCGGCGUCAAGCCUGCUAGACUUAAAGUCUGAAAUGUUUCACCGGCGACAAGCCUGCUAGACUUAAAGUCUGAAACAUAUCACUGGCAUCAAGCCUGCUAGGCACCG
Molecule: long non-coding RNA, 202 nt
Filed under: Gossypium barbadense (sea-island cotton)
Lineage: Eukaryota; Viridiplantae; Streptophyta; Magnoliopsida; Malvales; Malvaceae
Description: long non-coding RNA (GBAR_LNC014749)
Source: RNAcentral